RNAcentral lists this ribosomal RNA (301 nucleotides) under uncultured bacterium. RNAcentral's name for it is "partial 16S ribosomal RNA". It matches the Rfam family "Bacterial small subunit ribosomal RNA", at positions 509 to 807 of the family's 1533-position model. The record is from RNAcentral.
CAGUCGCCGCGGGAAUACGGAGGGUGCGAGCGUUAAUCGGAAUUACUGGGCGUAAAGCGUACGCAGGCGGUUGGUUAAGUCAGAUGUGAAAUCCCCGAGCUUAACUCAGGAACUGCAUUUGAAACUGGCAGGCUAGAGUCUCGUAGAGGGGGGUAGAAUUCCAGGUGUAGCGGUGAAAUGCGUAGAGAUCUGGAGGAAUACCGGUGGCGAAGGCGGCCCCCUGGACAAAGACUGACGCUCAGGUGCGAAAGCGUGGGGAGCAAACAGGAUUAGAUACCCCGGUAGUCCCUGUCUCUUAUAC